RNAcentral lists this long non-coding RNA (2256 nucleotides) under Ananas comosus (pineapple). RNAcentral's name for it is "long non-coding RNA (ACOM_LNC020602)". Lineage: Eukaryota; Viridiplantae; Streptophyta; Magnoliopsida; Poales; Bromeliaceae. The record is from RNAcentral.
CGCUCGCCGGCGGGGUCGAGGGCGACGGCGAGGAGGUCGGCGGCAGCUGCCUGGUCGAGGGACGCUGCGAUUCGGCGCUCGAGCUCGCGGCGGGAGGCGGUGGACACGGCGAGGGCGACCGCGGCGCGGAGGAGGAGGCAGAGGAAGCCGACGGGGAGCGGGGCGUCGCGGUCGGGGGGGAGGAGGGAGACGAUGGAUUCGAGGAGGGCGCGCCGGCGAGAGUGGUCGCCGGCGACGGCGGUGGCGGCGGAGCCGGCGCGGCCGGGGAGGAGGUCGGGGAGGGAGAGCUCGGAGUAGGCGGCGACGGCGGUGGCGAGGGAUUGCGGGGAGGCGCCGCGGGAGCGCAUGGCGGAGAGGACCUUCUGGAAGGAGGCGGGGCCGAGGGCGGCGAGCUCGGCCGCCCACCACUCCGGCGGCGACCGCGUCGGAAAGUUGGAUUCAUUGCAGGCCUGAAUAAAAAAGAAAAAAGGCGAGUUUUAGAAACUGCUUGUGUCUUUAGUAAGCCUCAACUUCUUGUUUUCAGCUGUAAUCAUCUUCAGCAAAAUUCUCGAUUUUGAAAUCUUCCUCGCAAUUAAUUCAGAGUUCCUUCUAACAGUAGAUCACUUGCAAUACUUUUUCAAACAGUAUUAUAUCAUCCAGCAAAACUAAACAACUACUAAUACUAUAGUACUAUGCUCUCAUCGAAUGCACGUUUAUAUAUACUAGUGAAAUACCCGCGCGAUACUGCGGAUCUAAAAUAUUUUUAUAAUAAAUUUUAUUUUUUUAAUAUUUUUAUAUAGUUUUAUAAGUCUAAUUAUUAAUUAAAUAAAAAUUAUAUANAAGAGAAAGAAAGGGGGAAAAUGCUUUUGGAGGGAUAUAUUUGUGAGGGCAAAAUGGUCAUUUCACAUUAAAACUGUUAAAAAAUAAACAGUUCUCUAACAUAUGUUAAUCAGAGGGACAUAUCUGCAUAAAUUAGGACUUUUGCAGGGACAGCUUAUGGAGUUUCCGUUUUGCAGGAAUAUUUUCGCAAUUCACUAUGUUUGCAGGGACGUGUAUGCAAAUAACCCUAUUUUUUAUACUUUCGUUCCCAUUCCUUUUGAUUCAAUAGUGUAAGAUAUUAGACGUGAUGGAAAUAUGAUUUUCUCUGAUACUAAUUAUGAGAAUCGGUAUUUACCGAUUAUAUAAUCUAAAAUUUAAAAUGGAACAAAAUAAGAUGAAGAAGAAAUAUUGAAGAAGCCCUUAAACCUCAAAUCAAUGAAAUCCCGUAUUCUUAAAAAGCCAUACCAAGCAACAAACUCUUUUAAAACUUGAACAAAUAACAAUUCCACAUAGAGAGAUAUAUUUAUAUACACACAAAUUAGCCAAACAAAUCAAAGCAGGACCAAAUAUUUUGCACUUUUGUCCCUCCAAAAUCACGAUAUCGAGAACCUCCUCCUCCGGGGCUUGGUCACGUCUACCCCUCCCGCCGCCGCGUCGUCGUGGAGCAUCGACGUGUCCUUGGCCCCGCCGUGCCUGAACGGGUUCAGCUUCCCGAGCUUGCGGGACACGGAGGCGAAGAACGUCGUCGGCUUCUUGGGCGGGCCUGGUGUUGCCGAAGACGACUUCGACGCAGCCAGCGCGGGCGCGUUGGUGCGCUCGAGCUCGGACACGUAGAGGCGCAUGCGCGCAAGCUCGGACCGGAGCGCCUCGUUCUCGCGCGUGAGGGACGCAUCGCCGUGCUGCUUCGGCACCGCUGCCGCUUGCGGCUGGGAGGCGGAGCUGCUGCGGAGCUUGAGCUGGUCGUAGUAGAGCGCGUGGAGGACGAUCUGGAGGGGCAGCCGCUUGUUCUGCGCCGCGUGCAGCCGCGCCUCGUACGACAGCCGCAGCGGGUCCAUCACACUGCACACCUUCUCCCUCUCAAUCUCGUCCAGAUCAGAGUGCGCCUGAACAUGUAUACAGUAUAGUUUAAUAUCUGAAUUAUAAUGUAUCGCUGAUGUGAUAGUAAUAUAAUAAAUCUUUAUUAUUAUUAUUAUUAUUAUUAUUAUUAUUAUUAUUAUUAUGUUAUUCAUUUAGAAGAACCUUGAGAUAGAUGUCGACGGCGCGGUAGAGAUCGUCAUCGAAGUGGCGGGAGGACUUGGGGAGGGCGCCGGCGAUGCCGGCGAACUUGGAGACGGAGAGGUCCACGUCGGUGGCGAUCUCACUGACGAAGGCGUCGACGGUGCGCGCCACCUUCUGCAUGGCGGCAGAGCAGAGGGCGGCGCCGCCGCCGUACAGCAGGCCGCCGGCGCCGGCGCCGGC